This 478-nucleotide ribosomal RNA is filed under the name uncultured bacterium. RNAcentral describes it as "partial 16S ribosomal RNA". It matches the Rfam family "Bacterial small subunit ribosomal RNA", at positions 28 to 507 of the family's 1533-position model. The record is from RNAcentral.
GAUGAACGCUGGCGGCGUGCUUAACACAUGCAAGUCGAACGGGAAACCGUUUAUUGAAGCUUCGGCAGAUUUAGCUGGUUUCUAGUGGCGGACGGGGGAUUAACGCGUGGGUAACCUGCCUUAUACAGGGGGAUAACAACCAGAAAUGGUUGCUAAUACCGCAUCAGCUCACAGGACCGCAAGGUCCGGUGUGAACAACGCCGGUGGUAUAAGAUGGACCCGGGUUGGAUUAGCUAAUUGGCAGGGUAACGGCCUACCAAGGCGACGAUCCAUAGCCGGCCUGAGAGGGUGAACGGCCACAUCGGGAAUGAGACACGGCACAGACUCCUACGCCAGGAAGCAGUGGGGAAUAUUGCACAAUGGGGGAAACACUGAUGCAGCGACGCCGCGUGAAGGAAGCAGUAUCUAGGGAUGUAAACUUCUAUCAGCAGGGAAGAUAGUGACGGUACCUGACUAAGAAGCCCCGGCUAACUACGUG